Molecule: ribosomal RNA, 664 nt
Filed under: uncultured soil bacterium
Lineage: Bacteria
Description: bacterial SSU rRNA
Rfam family: Bacterial small subunit ribosomal RNA
Source: RNAcentral
GAACGCUGGCGACGUGCCUAACAAAUGCAAGUCGAACGGGGGAGCAAUCCCUAGUGGCGAACGGUCGCGUAACACGUGGGCAACCUGCCCUGAACCGGGGGACAACAGCUCGAAAGGGCUGCUAAUACCGCAUGUGAAGGGGGAUGGCAUCAUCCCUUGUUCAAAGCUUUAUGCGCUUCAGGAUGGGCCCGCGGCCUAUCAGCUAGUUGGUGGGGUAACGGCCUACCAAGGCUUCGACGGGUAGCUGGUCUGAGAGGACGAUCAGCCGGAUUGGGACUGAGAUACGGCCCAGACUCCUACGGGGGGCAGCAAUUAGGAAUCUUGCACAAUGGGGGCAACCCUGAUGCAGCGACGUCGCGUGGAGGAUUGAAAUCUUUCGGGAUGUAAACUCCUUUUCUCAGGGAAGAAAAAAAUGACGGUACCUGAGGAAUAAGCCCCGGCUAACUACGAGCCAGCAGCCGCGGUAAUACGUAGGGGGCGUGCGUUGUCCGGAAUUACUGGGCGUAAAGAGCGCGUAGGCGGGCUCCUAAGUGAGGGGUGAAAGGUUCGGGCUCAACCCGGAGAGUGCCCUUCGUACUGGGAGCCUUGAGUGCGGGAGAGGCAAGUGGAAUGGUCGGUGUAGCGGUGAAAUGCGUAGAUAUCGAUCGGAACACCAGUGGCGAAG